CAGGUCACUCCUACGGGAGGCAGCAGUGGGGAAUCUUGCGCAAUGGGCGAAAGCCUGACGCAGCCAUGCCGCGUGUAUGAUGAAGGUCUUAGGAUUGUAAAAUACUUUCACCGGGGAAGAUAAUGACGGUACCCGGAGAAGAAGCCCCGGCUAACUUCGUGCCAGCAGCCGCGGUAAUACGAAGGGGGCUAGCGUUGCUCGGAAUUACUGGGCGUAAAGGGCGCGUAGGCGGACAGUUUAGUCAGAGGUGAAAGCCCAGGGCUCAACCUUGGAAUUGCCUUUGAUACUGGCUGUCUUGAGUUCGGGAGAGGUGAGUGGAAUGCCGAGUGUAGAGGUGAAAUUCGUAGAUAUUCGGCGGAACACCAGUGGCGAAGGCGACUCACUGGCCCGAUACUGACGCUGAGGCGCGAAAGCGUGGGGAGCAAACAGGAUUAGAUACCCUGGUAGUCCACGCCGUAAACGAUGAGUGCUAGUUGUCGGCAUGCAUGCAUGUCGGUGACGCAGCUAACGCAUUAAGCACUCCGCCUGGGGAGUACGGUCGCAAGAUUAAAACUUAAAGGAAUUGACG
RNAcentral lists this ribosomal RNA (568 nucleotides) under uncultured Phenylobacterium sp. Its description in RNAcentral is "bacterial SSU rRNA". It matches the Rfam family "Bacterial small subunit ribosomal RNA", at positions 329 to 915 of the family's 1533-position model. Lineage: Bacteria; Pseudomonadati; Pseudomonadota; Alphaproteobacteria; Caulobacterales; Caulobacteraceae. The record is from RNAcentral.